RNAcentral lists this ribosomal RNA (363 nucleotides) under Triticum aestivum (bread wheat). RNAcentral's name for it is "partial small subunit ribosomal RNA". Lineage: Eukaryota; Viridiplantae; Streptophyta; Magnoliopsida; Poales; Poaceae. The record is from RNAcentral.
AUGGAGGAGGGCGUGGCCGACGCUGCUACGGGUGGAGGGAUGGACGGCGAGGUGGAGGAAGGCCACGACGCUGCACCGGCCUCGUCCUCGGGCGACCAUGGCGGGCAGGCGAAGGGCGGCCAUGGCGGGAUGAAGCAGGACGGUCAAGGCGCGGCGCCGGAGGGCGGCCAUGGCGGGGAGGUGGAGGACAGGCAAGGUGCGGCGUGGGAGGGCGGCCAUGGCGGGGAGGUGGAGGGCGGUCAAGGUGCAGCGCCGGAGGGCGGCCAUGGCGGGGAGGUGGAGGGCGGUCAAGGUGCAACGGCCACAGAUGCAAGUACUCCGGCAUGGCUAGAAGGGAUGGAUCCAAACUCAACUUCUUACUGA